This 466-nucleotide ribosomal RNA is filed under the name uncultured bacterium. RNAcentral describes it as "partial 16S ribosomal RNA". It matches the Rfam family "Bacterial small subunit ribosomal RNA", at positions 28 to 507 of the family's 1533-position model. The record is from RNAcentral.
GAUGAACGCUGGCGGCGUGCUUAACACAUGCAAGUCGAACGAUGAAGCCCAGCUUGCUGGGUGGAUUAGUGGCGAACGGGUGAGUAACACGUGAGUAACCUGCCCUUAACUCUGGGAUAAGCCUGGGAAACUGGGUCUAAUACCGGAUAGGAGCGUCCACCGCAUGGUGGGUGUUGGAAAGAUUUAUCGGUUUUGGAUGGACUCGCGGCCUAUCAGCUUGUUGGUGAGGUAAUGGCUCACCAAGGCGACGACGGGUAGCCGGCCUGAGAGGGUGACCGGCCCCACUGGGACUGAGACACGGCCCAGACUCCUACGGGAGGCAGCAGUGGGGAAUAUUGCACAAUGGGCGCAAGCCUGAUGCAGCGACGCCGCGUGAGGGAUGACGGCCUUCGGGUUGUAAACCUCUUUCAGUAGGGAAGAAGCGAAAGUGACGGUACCUGCAGAAGAAGCACCGGCUAACUACGUG